CCUACGGGAGGCAGCAGUGAGGAAUAUUGGUCAAUGGCCGUAAGGCUGAACCAGCCAAGUCGCGUGAAGGAAGAAGGAUCUAUGGUUUGUAAACUUCUUUUAUAGGGGAAUAAAGGUAUCCACGUGUGGAUAUUUGCAUGUACCCUAUGAAUAAGCAUCGGCUAACUCCGUGCCAGCAGCCGCGGUAAUAAGGAGGAUGCGAGCGUUAUCCGGAUUUAUUGGGUUUAAAGGGUGCGUAGGUUGUUUUUUAAGUCAGCGGUGAAAGUUUGGGGCUCAACCAUAAAAUUGCCGUUGAAACUGGACGACUAGAGUGAGUUUGAGAGAGGUGGAAUGCGUGGUGUAGCGGUGAAAGGCAUAGAGAUGACGCAGAAUUCCGAUUGCGGAGGCAGCUUACUAGGACAUAACUGACACUGAAGCGCGAAAGCGUGGGGAUCAAACAGGAUGAGAUACCCGUGUAGUC
RNAcentral lists this ribosomal RNA (460 nucleotides) under uncultured bacterium. RNAcentral's name for it is "partial 16S ribosomal RNA". It matches the Rfam family "Bacterial small subunit ribosomal RNA", at positions 338 to 795 of the family's 1533-position model. The record is from RNAcentral.